CCAGACUCCUACGGGAGGCAGCAGUGAGGAAUAUUGGUCAAUGGGCGCGAGCCUGAACCAGCCAAGUCGCGUGAGGGAAGACGGUCCUAUGGAUUGUAAACCUCUUUUGUCGGGGAGCAAAAGACGCCACGCGUGGCGUUCCGAGAGUACCCGAAGAAAAAGCAUCGGCUAACUCCGUGCCAGCAGCCGCGGUAAUACGGAGGAUGCGAGCGUUAUCCGGAUUUAUUGGGUUUAAAGGGUGCGCAGGCGGAAUGUCAAGUCAGCGGUAAAAUUUCGGGGCUCAACCCCGUCGUGCCGUUGAAACUGGCGUUCUUGAGUGAGCGAGAAGUAUGCGGAAUGCGUGGUGUAGCGGUGAAAUGCAUAGAUAUCACGCAGAACUCCGAUUGCGAAGGCAGCAUACCGGCGCUCAACUGACGCUCAUGCACGAAAGCGUGGGGAUCGAACAGGAUUAGAUACCCCGGUA
Molecule: ribosomal RNA, 463 nt
Filed under: uncultured bacterium
Lineage: Bacteria
Description: bacterial SSU rRNA
Rfam family: Bacterial small subunit ribosomal RNA
Source: RNAcentral